UGACCUCAGAUCAGACAAGGAUACCGCUGAACUUAAGCAUAUCAAUAAGCGGGGGAGGC
RNAcentral lists this ribosomal RNA (59 nucleotides) under Orbilia ellipsospora. RNAcentral's name for it is "partial 28S large subunit ribosomal RNA". Lineage: Eukaryota; Fungi; Ascomycota; Orbiliomycetes; Orbiliales; Orbiliaceae. The record is from RNAcentral.